This 263-nucleotide ribosomal RNA is filed under the name uncultured bacterium. RNAcentral describes it as "partial 16S ribosomal RNA". It matches the Rfam family "Bacterial small subunit ribosomal RNA", at positions 793 to 1055 of the family's 1533-position model. The record is from RNAcentral.
GUCCUGGCCGUAAACGUUGGGCACUAGGUGUUGGAGGCAUCGACCCCUCCAGUGCCGCAGCUAACGCAUUAAGUGCACCGCCUGGGGAGUACGGCCGCAAGGUUGAAACUCAAAGGAAUUGACGGGGGCCCGCACAAGCGGUGGAGCAUGUGGUUUAAUUCGACGCAACGCGAAGAACCUUACCCAGACUUGACAUGCACGGGACCGGUGUUGAAAUACACCUUCCCUUCGGGGCUCGUGCACAGAUGCUGCAUGGCUGUCGU